This 547-nucleotide ribosomal RNA is filed under the name uncultured bacterium. Its description in RNAcentral is "bacterial SSU rRNA". It matches the Rfam family "Archaeal small subunit ribosomal RNA", at positions 728 to 1274 of the family's 1478-position model. The record is from RNAcentral.
AAUAGAUACCCGGGUAGUCCUAGCCGUAAACGAUACUCGCUAGGUGUCGGCCACGGUGCGACCGUUGUCGGUGCCGUAGGGAAGCCGUGAAGCGAGCCACCUGGGAAGUACGGCCGCAAGGCUGAAACUUAAAGGAAUUGGCGGGGGAGCACCACAACGGGUGGAGCUUGCGGUUUAAUUGGAUUCAACGCCGGAAAUCUUACCGGGACCGACAGCAAUAUGAAGGCCAGGCUGAAGACUUUGCCGGAUUAGCUGAGAGGUGGUGCAUGGCCGUCGUCAGUUCGUACUGUGAAGCAUCCUGUUAAGUCAGGCAACGAGCGAGACCCACGCCCACAGUUGCCAGCGUACUCUCUGGAGUGACGGGUACACUGUGGGGACCGCCGCUGCUAAAGCGGAGGAAGGAAUGGGCAACGGUAGGUCAGUAUGCCCCGAAUAUCCCGGGCUACACGCGAGCUACAAUGGUUGGUACAAUGGGUAUCUACCCCGAAAAGGGACGGGAAUCUCCUAAAACCAAUCUUAGUUCGGAUUGAGGGCUGCAACUCGCCCU